GAACCGCAUGGUUCAAGGAUGAAAGACGGUUUCGGCUGUCACUUACGGAUGGACCCGCGGCGCAUUAGCUAGUUGGUGAGGUAACGGCUCACCAAGGCAACGAUGCGUAACCGACCUGAGAGGGUGAUCGGCCACACUGGGACUGACACACGGCCCACACUCCUACGGGAGGCAGCAGUAGGGAAUCUUCCGCAAUGGACGAAAGUCUGACGGACCACCGCCGCGUGAGUGAUGAAUGUUUUCGGAUCGUAAAGCUCUGUUGUUAGGAAAGAACAAGUGCAAAAGUAACUGCUUGCACCUUGACGGUACCUAACCAGAAAGCCACGGCUAACUACCUGCCACCACCCGCGGUAAUACGUAGGUGGCAAGCGUUGUCCGGAAUUAUUGGGCGUAAAGGGCUCGCAGGCGGUUUCUUAAGUCUGAUGUGAAAGCCCCCGGCUCAACCGGGGAGGGUCAUUGGAGACUGGGAAACUUGAGUGCAAAAAAAGAGAGUGUAAUUCCACGUGUAGCGGUGAAAUGCAUAUAGAUGUGAAGGAACACCAGUGGCGAAAGCCACUCUCUGGUCUGUAACUGACACUGA
This 580-nucleotide ribosomal RNA is filed under the name Bacillus pumilus. Its description in RNAcentral is "bacterial SSU rRNA". It matches the Rfam family "Bacterial small subunit ribosomal RNA", at positions 183 to 749 of the family's 1533-position model. Lineage: Bacteria; Bacillati; Bacillota; Bacilli; Caryophanales; Bacillaceae. The record is from RNAcentral.